This 1456-nucleotide ribosomal RNA is filed under the name Cyanobium sp. JJ23-10. RNAcentral describes it as "16S ribosomal RNA". It matches the Rfam family "Bacterial small subunit ribosomal RNA". The record is from RNAcentral. Lineage: Bacteria; Bacillati; Cyanobacteriota; Cyanophyceae; Synechococcales; Prochlorococcaceae.
GAUGAACGCUGGCGGCGUGCUUAACACAUGCAAGUCGAACGAGCCUUCGGGCUAGUGGCGGACGGGUGAGUAACGCGUGGGAAUCUGCCCUCAGGAGGGGGAUAACGGUUGGAAACGACCGCUAAUACCCCAUAUGCCGAGAGGUGAAAUGAAUUUCGCCUGAGGAUGAGCCCGCGUCUGAUUAGCUAGUUGGUGGGGUAAUGGCCCACCAAGGCGACGAUCAGUAGCUGGUCUGAGAGGAUGAUCAGCCACACUGGGACUGAGACACGGCCCAGACUCCUACGGGAGGCAGCAGUGGGGAAUUUUCCGCAAUGGGCGAAAGCCUGACGGAGCAACGCCGCGUGAGGGAUGAAGGCCUCUGGGCUGUAAACCUCUUUUCUCAAGGAAGAAGACAUGACGGUACUUGAGGAAUAAGCCACGGCUAAUUCCGUGCCAGCAGCCGCGGUAAUACGGGAGUGGCAAGCGUUAUCCGGAAUUAUUGGGCGUAAAGCGUCCGCAGGCGGCCUUGUAAGUCUGUCGUUAAAGCGUGGAGCUUAACUCCAUUUAAGCGAUGGAAACUACAAGGCUUGAGUGUGGUAGGGGCAGAGGGAAUUCCCGGUGUAGCGGUGAAAUGCGUAGAUAUCGGGAAGAACACCAGUGGCGAAGGCGCUCUGCUGGGCCAUAACUGACGCUCAUGGACGAAAGCCAGGGGAGCGAAAGGGAUUAGAUACCCCUGUAGUCCUGGCCGUAAACGAUGAACACUAGGUGUCGGGGGAAUCGACCCCCUCGGUGUCGUAGCUAACGCGUUAAGUGUUCCGCCUGGGGAGUACGCACGCAAGUGUGAAACUCAAAGGAAUUGACGGGGGCCCGCACAAGCGGUGGAGUAUGUGGUUUAAUUCGAUGCAACGCGAAGAACCUUACCAGGGUUUGACAUCCUGCGAAUCCCUUGGAAACGAGGGAGUGCCUUCGGGAGCGCAGAGACAGGUGGUGCAUGGCUGUCGUCAGCUCGUGUCGUGAGAUGUUGGGUUAAGUCCCGCAACGAGCGCAACCCACGUCUUUAGUUGCCAGCAUUCAGUUGGGCACUCUAGAGAGACCGCCGGUGAUAAACCGGAGGAAGGUGUGGAUGACGUCAAGUCAUCAUGCCCCUUACAUCCUGGGCUACACACGUACUACAAUGCUACGGACAAAGGGUUGCAAGCUCGCGAGAGUUAGCUAAUCCCAUAAACCGUGGCUCAGUUCAGAUCGUAGGCUGCAACUCGCCUACGUGAAGGAGGAAUCGCUAGUAAUCGCAGGUCAGCAUACUGCGGUGAAUACGUUCCCGGGCCUUGUACACACCGCCCGUCACACCAUGGAAGUUGGCCAUGCCCGAAGUCGUUACUCCAACCCUUGUGGAGGAGGACGCCGAAGGUGGGGCUGAUGACUGGGGUGAAGUCGUAACAAGGUAGCCGUACCGGAAGGUGCGGCUGGAUCACCUCCU